Molecule: ribosomal RNA, 1232 nt
Filed under: metagenome
Description: bacterial LSU rRNA
Rfam family: Bacterial large subunit ribosomal RNA
Source: RNAcentral
UGAGUACGAGAUGCUACGGCGUCGAAGCAGUCUAUGUCAUACUUCCAAGAAAAGCUUGCACUGUCAUAAACAAAUAAUGCCUGUACCAUAACCGACACAGGUGGGUAGGUAGAGUAUACUAAGGGGCGCGAGAUAACUCUCUCUAAGGAACUCGGCAAAAUGACUCCGUAACUUCGGGAGAAGGAGUGCCUUAUUUAUAAGGUUGCAAUAACAAGACCCAAGCAACUGUUUAUCAAAAACACAGGUCUCCGCUAAGUCGUAAGACGAUGUAUGGGGGCUGACGCCUGCCCAGUGCCAGAAGGUUAAAGAAGUUGGUUAGCUUUUGCGAAGCUGAUGACUGAAGCCCUGGUGAACGGCGGCCGUAACAAUAACGGUCCUAAGGUAGCGAAAUUCCUUGUCGGGUAAGUUCCGACCCGCACGAAAGGCGUAAUGAUUUGGGUACUGUCUCAGAGAGGGACUCGGUGAAAUAGACUUGUCUGUGAAGAUGCGGACUACCUGCACCUGGACAGAAAGACCCUAUGAAGCUUUACUGUAACUUGAAAUUGAAAUUGGACUUUAUUUGCGCAGUAUAGGUGGGAGGCUUUGAAGAUAUUCUUGCGGGAAUGUUGGAGCCAUCAGUGAGAUACCACUCUUGUAACGUUAGAUUUCUAACUUUGUAUCAUUAUCUGGUCAAAGAACAGUUUCAGGCGGGCAGUUUGACUGGGGCGGUCGCCUCCUAAACGGUAACGGAGGCGCACAAAGGUUUCCUCUGAACGGGUAGAAAUCGUAUCUAGAGUGUAAAGGCAUAAGGAAGCUUGACUGUGAGACCUACAAGUCGAGCAGGGACGAAAGUCGGUCUUAGUGAUCUGACGGUGCUGAGUGGAAAGGCCGUCACUCAACGGAUAAAAGUUACUCUAGGAUAACAGGCUGAUCUCCCCCAAGAGUUCACAUCGACGGGGAGGUUUGGCACCUCGAUGUCGGCUCAUCGCAUCCUGGGGCGGUAGUACGUCCCAAGGGUUGGGCUGUUCGCCCAAAAGCGGUACGCGAGCUGGGUUCAGAACGUCGUGAGACAGUUCGGUCCAUAUCCGGUGUAGGCGUUAGAAUAUUGAGAGGAGCCUUCUCUAGUACGAGAGGACCGAGAAGGACAUACCUCUGGUGUACCAGUUAUCGUGCCAACGGUAAACGCUGGGUAGCUAUGUGUGGAGUGGAUAACCGCUGAAAGCAUCUAAGUGGGAAGCCCACCUCAAGAUAAG